UUAAUAUAUUUAAUAUGAUUUUGUUUUUAUUUUUUUUGCUUCCGUACCCAAAGGGUAUAAACGGGACCCUAUUACCAACUAUCCACUGUGAACUGUCCGUCUGUCUGUCUGUCUGGCACCAGGCUGUAUUAUAAACCGUGAUAGCUAGACAGUCGAAAUGUUCACAGGUGUAAUUCUGUUGCCGCUAUAACAACAAAUACUAAAAAGUACGGAACCCUCGGUGGGCGAGUCCGACUCACACUUGUCCGGUUUUUUAAUGGUAUAGGAGGCAAUGGUAAGCUAUAACAUCGGCACUUACCAUCAGGUGAGAUUGCGGUCAAAUACUAAACGCAGAAGGGUUGCAAGUGCGUUGCCGGCCUUUAAGAUGGGAGUACGUUCUUUUUUUGAAGGUUUCAUGGUCGUAUCGGUCCGGAAAUACCGCAGGCGACAGUUCAUUCCACAGUUUAGCUGUGCGAAGUAGGAAGUUUCUGGAGAAACGCACAGUUGAGGACUGCCAACCAACUAAGUGGUGAAGAUGGAAAUAUUGUCGCGUAGAGCGAUGGGGGAAAGCAGCUUUCACGUUAUUAUAAUACAAUUCAUAUGGAAUAGACUACAUAAUCAUUGCCAACCCCAUAGCUUUGUGCGAUGUAAUAGAUUUUUAACAUUUGUCUUAGACACACUUCUAAAAUCAAUAAUUAUUUGAUGGUGGUAAUAUCACGCGUGGCCUAAGUCCUGUGCAUACUGGAUGCAUGUGCGUAAGCGUGCACAUAAUCGUUGUAAUCUACAGAGCCGUGUGAGAGAUGGCACACCGCUUGCGUGCACGGCUCCACCAUUUUAGCGCACGCACGUGCACUCAGUACUACACUGCGCGCACGCAGCCGCUGUGCUCUGGCCUUUAAUCAUAUCGAGUUAGCAUUAAGGGUGUCAUUUCACCUGUCAAAUUUCUUUGUCCAAUGUGUAUUGCGUCUCACAGUUUGCUUAAUGAGAGAGUGAGAUGCAAUGCACAUUGGACCAACAUAUUGGACAGAGUGCAAUAUCAACCUAAGCCGAUCGCCGGAGAAUUCGGAAAUUUGAAUAUUUAUCCUCUCAAAUGAUUUUUACGUCUAAGAUCCUAAUCUGUUAAACAAAAGCCAUUGUUUCUUUUGUGAGCGCGGUCGGCCAUUGUGUGUCAUUAUCUCUGAGCGCGUGCCACCGCUCGCACAAAAGAAACAAUGGCUUUUGUUUAACAGAUUAGGGUCUUAGACGUAAAAAUCAUUUGAGAAGAUGCAGACUAUACAAUGCAUUUGUAAAGGGCCCUCCACACUCGUGCGCGAAGCCGCGUAGUCUGGAGCGCGCUUUAAACGAACUUGUCUCGAACUUUGUUGAGGAGAAAAAUCGAUAAUAUCAAAGUACUAUUCAGUAAAAUAAUAUCUAUGAAAUAAGAAGUCAAAAAAUAUUGUAGUAUUUAAAUUUUCCAUAGUAUGGAAAGAAUAUUUUUUUGCAUAAUAUGUUGUAACAUUGUUGUAUUUGAAAUUGUAAGAUCGGUUUUCUUCGAAAAGCAUUAUUUUUAAAGUUAUUUACUAUAUGCAAUUAAUCGCAUUGGUUUUUUCCAAUUUAAAAAUAGGACUAUCCUGUAGUGCCACUAGAAACUAGCUGAAAAUAUACGUACACCUUUAUUUAGCUAAGCAUAAGAAAAAAUUAUAUGCAAUCUUUAGCUUCUACUGUCACAAAUCACAAUUGGUUGGUUUAUAUUAAGUAUUAGUAAAUGAGAUUAAAAUCUGCCGUUUGCUCAUCUCAUACAGAGGACGCUUUUCGAAUCUAUCAAAAGUCUGUAAUAGUUUAUCUAUUCUUAUUGCAAUUUAAAUUCGCAAAAAAUAUACAAAUUUUCAGCAGUGAUAAAAAUAUUAAUCAAUCAAACACAAUAUUGAAGUAUUUUUGCUUUCAAGUUCUUUAAAGCAAAAACAAAAAAAAAUUGGGCUAGUUUUUUUUAAAACUCCAAACCACUCGAACACGUAAGUGGCGACUUUAAAGGCCUGUGCACACCUGAUGGUGCGUAGACGUGCACUUUGUAAUAUACAGAUCCUUAAGAGAGGCGGCAAACCGCUUGCGUGACGAGUGCGUGCACGGCUCUAACAUUUUAGAGCACGCCCACGCAGCCGGUGUGAUCAGCGCCAUCUGCGUUAGGCUUUGCAAGUAAAUUUUAGUUUUAGUAUUUUUCAACGCUAUAUUUUGGUUAUUUGCGAGAAAUUGCAUAUAGUAAAGCAAUGUUUUGGUAAUUUAUCGAUAUGUGUAUAUACGCGUUCAUAGUGUAGCUGUUUAGGAGGUAAGGGAUGGAGAAAUACAUUUGAAUUUUUAUUUUAA
This is a long non-coding RNA of Cydia strobilella, 2319 nucleotides long. RefSeq lists it as uncharacterized. The record is from RefSeq and is a predicted model, not a curated record. The transcript has 2 exons. Lineage: Eukaryota; Metazoa; Arthropoda; Insecta; Lepidoptera; Tortricidae.